This 253-nucleotide ribosomal RNA is filed under the name uncultured bacterium. Its description in RNAcentral is "partial 16S ribosomal RNA". It matches the Rfam family "Bacterial small subunit ribosomal RNA", at positions 524 to 777 of the family's 1533-position model. The record is from RNAcentral.
UACGUAGGGCGCAAGCGUUGUCCGGAAUUAUUGGGCGUAAAGAGCUCGUAGGCGGCCAGUUGCGUCUGCUGUGAAAUCCCGGGGCUCAACCCCGGGCGUGCAGUGGAUACGGGCUGGCUAGAGGCAGGCAGGGGAGAACGGAAUUCCCGGUGUAGCGGUGAAAUGCGCAGAUAUCGGGAGGAACACCGGUGGCGAAGGCGGCUUCCUGGUCCGACACCGACGUCAGGCACGAAAGCGUGGGGAGCAAACAGGG